UUUUUUUUUUUUUUUAAGAGAUCAGUUCUUAAAAGGCAGAGAUUCCAAGGGAGAGAAAUUCUCCCAGCAUCUUUUUCAAUAACUGUGCUGUGAACUGCCCAAAGAGAGAACCACCUAAUCAACCACUCCUUGGUAGAAGACUCAAGGAGUGGUCCCUGACUGAUGGCAAACAAGAAAAAGGAAAGCCAUUCCUACAAACACAAGGAAUUAAAUUGUGCCAACCAACAGUGUGCCUGGAAGAGGAUUCUGAACCUCAGAUGAAACUGCAGCCCUGGCUGCCACCUUGAUUUCAGCCUCUAAGACUCUGAGGACAGGACCCAGCUAAACCAUGCCCAGAUUCCUGACCUACGGAAACUGAGAUUGGCUGCUAAAAUUGUGGUAAUCUGCAAUGCAGCAAUGGAAAGCUAAUAUAGAUGCCUCCUUUGAUUUGAGGAAAUAUGGCUUAUAUUAUUUCUCUCAAAGCCUGUUAAUGUUUAUGCUCUCGUCAAAACAAUAUCUAAUACUUCACAUUAUUAUGAGUGAGAAGAUUCAAUUUCACAAGUCAGCAGGAUAAGAUAUUACUACUCUCAAAACUUUACAGGUAAAAAAAGCUUUAUAAUGCCUGAAAGUUUAUUUCUUCCAUCAACUGAGCAUGAAUACACUGCUAUAAAAUUAGUAUAUUCGCUUCCACCUUUCAAAAUCAACGACAUACAAAAAUAAAUACAUCAACCUCAGUCCUUAUCCAUUUCUAAUGGAAUGAAAGUAAAAUUGAAUGUGUGGUGAGAAAAGCUAAUUUUGAGAUCUAACAUGGCCAUAUACUUUUGACAAUCUAGUUUCUAAGAACCUCAGGGAACUCAGCUAUCUUUAAAAAAGGAAAUAAAAAAACUGAAUUAAAUCUGGAGUCUAAUUAAUAGAAGAAAAAAUACAGGGGCAGCUGGGUGCCUCAUCGAAAGAAAGAAAGAAAGAAAAAGAAAAAAAGAAAGAAAGAAGAAAGAAAGAAAAAGAAAAAAUACAUACAUAUAUAAAUGGAUAAUAGGGGAUCCCUGGGUGGCUUGGCGGUUUGGUGCCUGCCUUUGGCCCAGGACAUGGUCCUGGGGACCCAGGAUCAAGUCCCCCAUCGGGCUCCCUGCAUGGAGCCUGCUUCUCCCUCUGCCUGUGUCUCUGCCUCUCUCUCUCUCUCUCUCUCUGUGUGUGUGUGUGUGUUUCCCAUGAAUAAAUAAAUAAAUCUUUUAAAAAAUAAAAAUAAAUGGAUAAUAAUGUACACUUUGCCAGCCUUAUAGAGUACUUAAUUAAAUGCCAUUGAAAAUAGCUUGUACAUCUACAGACCUUACUAUGUGUCAGGCACUGUUCAGUAACUACGAGGUAAGAAAUAAAUUUAUAGAUGAUAAGUAUAGUACAUAGAACAGUGAUCAAGGUCCCAGGGUCUAGAACCAGACUACCUGAAUACAAUUCCAGUUCCACCACUAACUAAAGGUGAGGUCCUGAGCAUGUUUAACUUCUCUGUACCAAAUUUUCAACUACAAAAUAGGGACAUUAACAAUACUUACCUCAGAGAGCUAUGGUGAAAAUUUUAAAAAGUUAAUACAAAGGAUACAGAAGAGUGCCUGGCACACAUUAAGCACUCAAAUGUUGAUAUCAAUAUUAUUUUUAUAAGUGUCAUAUUAAUAUUCAUUUCAAAGAAAGGCAAUCUAUGGUAGAUAACAUAAAAGAACACUAAUAAGCCAAGUUUUAGAACCCUAAAAUAUUAAUAAGAUUAUCUAAUUCCCUGUGACCCAACUCCUAAAUUCUUUAUCUACCAAAAUUCAAUUUUAUUUAGAAAUUUUAAUCUUUACUAGAACACCAUUCAGUCCACUGCUCUUAAUGUUUGCAAGUAACUUUUAUAAAAUUUUACAAAAACAUAGAAUUAGGGACACCUGGGUGGCUCAGCGGUUGAGCGUCUGCCUUUGGCUCAGGGUGUGAUCCCGGAGUGGAGUACCAAGAUCGGGUCCCACAUCAAGCUCCCUACAUGGAGUCUGCUUCUCUCUCUGCCUGUGUCUCUGCCUUUCUCUCUGUGUGUCUCUCAUGAAUAAAUAAAAAUCUUUAAAGAAGAAAAUUUUUUAAAACCACAGAAUUUAAAUUCUGAAAAGGGCAAAAUUCAAAUGUAUAUAACUAAAGUUACAAUACAGUAUUUAAAAUGCAAUCAAGGGGGAGAUCCCUGGGUGGCUCAGCGGUUUAGCCCCUGCCUUCGGUCCAGGGCAUGAUCCUGGAGUCCCAGGAUCAAGUCCCACAUCGGGCUUCUGCAUGGAGCCUGCGUCUCUCUGACUAUCUCUCUCUCUCUCUCUCUCCCUGCCCACUCUCUGUGUCUCUCACAAAUAAAUAAAAUAUUUUUAAAAAUAAAAUAAGAUCAAGAGGAAAGAGGAAAUCCUUUAAGGAGCAUUUUAGAUUUAGGUAACAAAAUAAAAUUGUGAAAACUAUUUAAAUCUCCUAUGAACAAUAAAAAUAAUAUGCUCUCACUAUAUUUAUUAAAUAUAAAACACCUGGGCACCUCGGUGGCUCAGUAGUUGAACGUCUGCCUUUGGCUUAUUUUAUUUUAAAAUAAAAUCUUUAAUAUAUAUCUCUAUAUACACAUAUAUUUAUGCAUGUAUUACACAUAUAUAUAUAACACCUAUGAAUAACUCGGUAAGGAAUACUCCUGUACAAAGUAUGAAAAAGCAGGAAAAAGAAUUUAAGAUUUUAUUUAUUUAUUUAUUCAUGACAGACACGGAGAGAGGCAGAGACUAAGCAGAGGGAGAUACCGGACUCGAUUCCAGGAUCCCUCUGGACCUGAGCCAAAGGCAGACACUCAACCACUGAGCCACCCCAGUACCCAAAAGAAUUUUUUUAAAUGACAAAUAAAAAUAGCUUAAGAAAUCACAUAAUGGAAACAUGCAACAGAUACUCAUUGACUUGAACAAUUUACACCUUAGAGACUACCAAGUGCUGAUUCUUAAAUUUUUUGCUAUUCCUUCCAAGCAUGCCAUAUUACACAUUUUCAAAUCCUAAAUAAUAGAUUUUUGUGGCUCAUCCUCCAAAGAAUCUCUUCCAAAAAGAGUUCACUGUAACUGCAAAACACAUUUUGUACACAGAAAAAAAUUAUAAAAAUCACUGUGCUCCAUAAUCUUUCAGACAGAUUUGGCCUAGACCAAUUUCUUCUACUGCUGAAGACGCAUCUGGGUCCUGAUAGCCAUAGCAAGAACAAGACUAAAUUUAAUGACAAAUGCAGGUUUAGUGCAAGUCAAUUCAAAUUACAGGCUUAAAUUUCACAAUUAUAUUGUAUAAGGCCAUAAACCUGGGAAUUGCUUCUCCAGGAGUCUGUUAAUCGUCUUCCUUCUGACAAACACACACAGAAUGAAAUCCUAUUACUUUCCCCCCUAUCAGUACAGCUGAUGACUUCCAUUUUCAAUAGAAAACUCUUCCACUGAAAUUUAAGAGGCAGCAUGCAUGGUGAUUAAAACAGACCAUAGAUAAUAUGGAUCUUGAUUUGAAUCCCAGUUGUGAGUUCAAGUUCCUAUCUAUAUGUUCUUAGAAAACCCUCUGAAUCUAUUUCUUCUGUCAUAAGAUAGGCUUAUUAAUACCUAUUUCAUAGGGACUGGUGUGAGUUAACUAGUUAACACAAAAAUCCUUAGCAUAAUGCCUGACGUAUAGUAAACAUUCAGUAAGUGGUAAUAAGGGUUAUCAAUAUAAUAAUUAUCAAAUUACUUAUUUAUCAAAUUAUCAAAUCUGUAUCUUAUCCUCUAGAUUCACACCCAUCUCCCUUCUAGCUAAUUCUUUAUAAAUAAAUGGAAGCAGCUCUGAGGCUAAAAUCAAUCAUCAUCAAAAGAAAAAGAGACCUAGUAGGCAACUUCCACACAUCCAAUCACCUUUUUUCUCUUUCAUGCCUGAGUCAUUAUCCAUACUCAACAGAAAAUACAUAAUCACUCUGUCUGGGCCUAAAUGUACAGAGGAGAACAGAGGCCUUUUACUUAAAGAUACCUCAUCCAUGAUGUAGCACUAAUAGCACACAUUUACCUUUUCAACAAGCUCAGCACUAGAAUGACCCCACAGGUGAAAUAGAAAUCAACUAAAAGUAUUUGUUGGAUCAAAAGUUUCAUUACUGAGUCAGGAAAAGAAAGGUCAACUUAAUGCAUCAUAUGUAUCAAAUACGUAGGCCAUUUCACUUUUAGGAUGUGCUUCCAGAAUUGCAGAACAAAAAAGUUGACACAAAAUCUCCAUCAACUAUUGCACCUGGCUUUCUAAGCCAUUCAAUAAAUAUUUGUUGAGGGCAGACCCUGGUGGCUCAGCGGUUUAGCGCCACAUUCAGCCCAAGGUGUGAUCCUAGAGACUGGCAUCGAGUCCCACGUUGGGCUCCCUACAUGCAACCUGCUUCUCCCUCUGCCUGCGUCUCUGCCUCUCUCGCUCUGUCUCUGUCUCUCCCUCUCUCUCUCUGUCUCUGUCUCUCAUGAAUAAAAUAAGAUCUUUAAAAUAAAUAUUUGUUGAACACCAAAGAUGACAUGAUAAUGUCCUCCUCUUACAGAGCCUAUUAAAAAAUCUUUCUAAUCUUUUUUUCCUCUUUCAUUCAUUAGCAAAUUACAUGCCUACUAAGUAAGCAGGAAAUAUUAGGCACUUGGGGGUAAGAGAGAUUAACGGAAAGAUGAAUAACACAUGACACUUGCCCUCAAAGAAUUGACAGACCAGUAGAAGAAAAAAAUACAACUUUUUAAGUGCUAUAAAAGCCACACAGAAACUGUGGAUAACAAGGAGAAAAAUCAACAAACUCCACUUACAUUAAUGAGGACAGGUUUUUCUAGAAAAGAUGAUAUUUCAGUAGAGUCUGAAGAGAUAAAUAUUGUACAGGCUGAGGAAAUAGCAAGGCACAGAGACAAAUAUACACGGAAGUAUACACAUACACACAAAUAUGCAUUAAACAGUACUGUGUGUAUAUAGAUAUAUAAUCAGUGUUUAGAUACAAGUGAGGGAAGUCACAGAACUAAAAAAUACAGAAACUGAUGUGACUCUCAAAGAUGAUACACAACUAUAUAGAAGAAAAGUUACGGACACCUGGGUGGCUCAGCGGUUGAGCAUCUGCCUUUGGCCCACAUCAGGCUCCUUCCAGGGAGCCUGCUUCUCCCUCAGCCUAUGUCUCUGCUUCUCUUUCUCUCUAUGUCUCUUAUGAAUAAAUAAAUAAAAGUCUUUCAAAAAAAAAAAAAAAAA
Molecule: long non-coding RNA, 5187 nt
Filed under: Canis lupus familiaris (dog)
Lineage: Eukaryota; Metazoa; Chordata; Mammalia; Carnivora; Canidae
Description: lncRNA (ENSCAFG00845007428.1)
Source: RNAcentral